CCUACGGGAGGCAGCAGUGAGGAAUAUUGGUCAAUGGCCGUAAGGCUGAACCAGCCAAGUCGCGUGAAGGAAGAAGGAUCUAUGGUUUGUAAACUUCUUUUAUAGGGGAAUAAAGGUAUCCACGUGUGGAUAUUUGCAUGUACCCUAUGAAUAAGCAUCGGCUAACUCCGUGCCAGCGGCCGCGGUACUACGGAGGAUGCGAGCGUUAUCCGGAUUUAUUGGGUUAAAGGGUGCGUAGGUUGUUUUUUAAGUUAGCGGUGAAAGUUUGUGGCUCAACCAUAAAAUUGCCGUUGAAACUGGAAGACUUGAGUGUGUUUGAGGUAGGCGGAAUGCGUGGUGUAGCGGUGAAAUGCAUAGAUAUCACGCAGAACUCCGAUUGCGAAGGCAGCUUACUAAGCCAUAACUGACACUGAAGCACGAAAGCGUGGGGAGCAAACAGGAGUAGAUACCCGUGUAGUC
This 459-nucleotide ribosomal RNA is filed under the name uncultured bacterium. RNAcentral describes it as "partial 16S ribosomal RNA". It matches the Rfam family "Bacterial small subunit ribosomal RNA", at positions 338 to 795 of the family's 1533-position model. The record is from RNAcentral.